GACGAACGCUGGCGGCGUGCUUAACACAUGCAAGUCGAACGGAAAGGCCCUGCUUUUGUGGGGUGCUCGCGUGGCGAACGGGUGAGUAACACGUGAGUAUCCUGCCCUUGACUUUGGGAUAACUUCAGGAAACUGGGGCUAAUACCGGAUAGGAGCUCCUGCUGCAUGGUGGGGGUUGGAAAGUUUCGGCGGUUGGGGAUGGACGCGCGGCUUAUCAGCUUGUUGGUGGGGUAGUGGCUUACCAAGGCUUUGACGGGUGGCCGGCCUGGGAGGGUGGCCGCCGACAUUGGGACUGAGAUACGGCCCAGUGUCCUACGGGAGGCAGCAGUGGGGAAUAUUGCACAAUGGGCGGAAGCGUGAUGCGGCAACGCCGCGUGCGGGAUGACGGCCUUCGGGUUGUAAACCGCUUUCGCCUGUGACGAAGCGGGAGUGACGGUAAUGGGUAAAGAAGCACCGGCUAACUACGUG
RNAcentral lists this ribosomal RNA (468 nucleotides) under uncultured bacterium. RNAcentral's name for it is "partial 16S ribosomal RNA". It matches the Rfam family "Bacterial small subunit ribosomal RNA", at positions 28 to 507 of the family's 1533-position model. The record is from RNAcentral.